UACGUAGGCAGCAAGCGUUGUUCGGAGUUACUGGGCGUAAAGGGUGCGUAGGCGGCUUCUUAAGUCUGGUGUGAAAUCUCCCGGCUCAACUGGGAGGGUGCGCCGGAUACUGAGGGGCUAGAGUGUGGGAGAGGAAAGUGGAAUUCCUGGUGUAGCGGUGAAAUGCGCAGAUAUCAGGAGGAACACCGGUGGCGAAGGCGGGUCUCUGGGCCAUUACUGACGCUGAGGAGCGAAAGCGUGGGGAGCGAACAGG
RNAcentral lists this ribosomal RNA (253 nucleotides) under uncultured bacterium. RNAcentral's name for it is "partial 16S ribosomal RNA". It matches the Rfam family "Bacterial small subunit ribosomal RNA", at positions 524 to 776 of the family's 1533-position model. The record is from RNAcentral.